GGCAACCCGCUUGAGUCCUGUUCCACGCUGUGGAAACUUUGUUUUUUUUUCUUUGCAAUAAAUCUUGCCACUGGCUCACGGUUUGGGUGAGGCACUGCAUUUAUGAGCUAUGACACUCACUGGAAAGGUCUGCAGGUUCACUCCUGAAGUCAGUGAGACCACAAACCCACCGGGAGGAACGAACAAUCUUGGACGCGCCGCCUUUAAGAGCUGUAAGACUCACUGCGAAGGUCUGCGGCUUCACUUCUGAAGUCAGGAAGACCACGAACCCACCAGAAGGAAGAAACUCUGGACACAUCUUAACAUCUGAAGGAACAAACUCUGGACACACCGUCUUUAAGAAUUGUAACACUUGCUGUGAGAGUCUGCAGCUUCAUUCUUGAAGUCAGGGAGACCAAGAACCCACCAGAAGGAACCAGUUCCGGACGCACUUCCAGCCAGAUGAGUGGCUCUGCAGACUUCCAAAGGAGCCGCUUUCUGUGCAAGUUGGACCAAGUCUGUUUCUCCUGUCCAUGAGGAUAAGGGUCCUGGAUAUCCUAGGUCGCCUGGUGGAGGGGCCCUCGGGAAUCCAACGAUCACCACUGCAAGUCAGCCUCAGCACCAGCACUCAGAUGCAGGGGUGGCUGGCCUCAGGCUUCCUCAGCCCAGGUGCAUGGCCUCUCGCUCAGCUCUUUGUGGCUCAGUCAUUCAUCACUCUGAUCAAACUCAUCUUGACAAAGGACAAAGCAAUACCUUCGAUCCUGCUUUUUAGCAGCCAUCCUGGCAGCCUGUGACUGCUCAGCCUCCCAAAGGCAGGACCAGGUCCAGGACCCACCCGAAUUCCUGGACAGAGCUCGACUGUCAGCUUGAGGCUUCCUGGGCUGGGCCAAAUGCAAAGAAACCCAGGGGUCCUCUGCAUCCUGAGCCUGGCGCCAACCUGCAGUAGCAACAUGAGUGAGGCCCAGGAGCCUGCCAGGACUGGGUUUACGCCCCAGAGCCGCCACUCACUACUCAUCAGCUGGACAAAGAGCUUCUCUGAGUUUCAGUUUCCAGAUCUGCAAAAUAGGUGUAACAAUCCCUGUGUCUGAGCAUCUGCAGGGAGAUCAAAUUCUCGUCUCUGGAACAUGACAGCUUCCAAAUCUGAGCCAUCCUGUCACUUCUCUUGGGUCAAUUGGGGUUUCCACGAUGUCACCCCAUCAGACUGUCACUAACAUGGCCUGAGAGCCCUGGGCUCGGGGACUGCCAGCAUGGUAGGUUUCCCUCCCCGUACUCCUGCCGUUACUUCCCUGAUGAGACCAUCCCCCAGAGAAGGGAAAGGAGGGCAGUUUCGUUCAUUUAGUGCAGAGCCUGGGAGGUGGGAGGAGCCUGGGCUAGCUUCAUUUUUUUGAGGUUCUUGGUAUGCUACAGAUGAGAAGGUUGCAGUGAUUGUGGUAUAAUUUCAGUGUUCUCACAACAAAUUAGAACACAGCAUACUUGUGGUGUUGACAGGACAACUGCAGAACUCAGUACAUUUCCUGGGGAGUUCUGAGUGGUGCAGUCUUAGGGCAGGAUACAAGCUUUGGGUCUCAGGAUGGCUGUCCACUUCUGCUGGAUCUGGGGUGCACCCUUACAGUCUGAAUUUCUAGAAAAAGGCAUAAUCAAACCCCCUGCAGAACUUUCACGGGAUCCCAUUCAAAUAAAACAGGGUGGAGGGACACGUUGAGAUGUUUGGAAAUAUCUGAAUAAGGGUGGGAUAUGGGGUUAUUUUAGGGAAUUCAUUGUUCAUAGGGAAUUCACUGUUCAUUGUCCCAGCCGUGAUAGCAUGGAAGAACAGCCCAAAGGGUCAUAAGAUAGUUCAGGAAAGAGCUUUACAAGUCAAAGUGACAGAGCAGCAGGUCCCCAACACUUUUGACACCAGGGACCAGGUUUAGUGGAAGACAAUUUCUCCAUGGACUGGAAUCAGGCUGGGGGUGGUUUUGAGAUGAUUCAAGCACAUUACAUUUAUUGUGCACUUUAAUUCUAUUAUUAUUAACUUGUAAUAUAUAAUGAAAUAUUAUACAACUCACCAUAAUGUAGAUCAGUGGGAGCCCUGAGCUUGUUUUCCUGCAACUAGACAGUCCCAUCUGGAGGUGAUGGAAGACAGUGACAGAUCAUCAGGCAUUAGAUUCUCAUAAGGAGCACGGAACCUAGAUCCCUCGCACACACAGUUCACGGUACGGCUCACGCUCCUAUGAGAAUUCAGUGCUGCUGCUGAUGUGACAGGAGGUGGAGCUUAGGUGGUAACGUGAGCAAUGGGGAGCAGCUGUAAAUACAGAUGAGGCUUCACUCGCUCACCAGCCUGCUCCGUGAGGUUGGGGACCCGUCAGAUACAGCAUUUAUGACCACAUGAUAACCACAGCUGAAUCCAGGUGGUGGGAUACACAGCUGCUUCAUUGUACCAAUCUCAACUUUUUCAUGUAUUUGAAAUUUUUCAUUAGAAGAGAGUAAAUUUUUUGGAUUGCUA
RNAcentral lists this long non-coding RNA (2461 nucleotides) under Homo sapiens (human). RNAcentral's name for it is "HSALNT0331392". Lineage: Eukaryota; Metazoa; Chordata; Mammalia; Primates; Hominidae. The record is from RNAcentral.